CGAGGCCCAGCAGAAAAGACAGCGCGCUGACCGCCCAGAGGAACAGCAUCAGCAGGGACUUCUCUGUGGGCCGCGACACGUAGCAGUCCACCACGCCCGUGCACGGAGGGCGCGUGCAAGGGAACUUCUUCGGGGCCAGGAAUCCAAAGAGAAAGUAGUGCAAGGCCCCGAAGGCUGCCUCCAGCAGGGUCCGGAGGAGGAGGUGGAUGAUGUAGCCGGCCGAAAAGUCGGGCACCUGGAGGCCGCCGCCCUCCCCGCAUGGCCGCGGGCAGCGUCUCUGCCCGGAGGCCGGCUCCCGGGGGUCGGGGCAGCGGCGGGGGCCCAGCGCGGCGAGCGUGGCUCCUCGGUGCAGGACAUAGACGCUGAAGACGGCGGAGGGGAGGAGGACGCACACGCCCUGGAUCAGCCAGAACCGCAGGUGAGACACGGGGGAGAAGACGUCGUAGCAAACAUUGGCGCAUCCUGGCUGCAGCGUGUUGCAGACAAACCUCUCCUGCUCGUCCUGGUAGACGGGUCGCCCCGCCAAGACAAUCACCAGCAUCCGCAGCAGCAUCGUGAGGACGAACCAGAGCUUUCCUGGAAGAGAGGAAGCGGGCAUGGCCUCAUCACCCGGAAUACACUGCCCUGAGUAACAGCUUUAAAGUUUCUAUUGGGGCUGAGACUGGGAAAUUGAAACGUCAAUAAGCAUGUCUUUAGUUUUCUGUUUGUUUGUGUUGUCGUUGUUGUUGUUGUUGGACACAGGGUCGUGCUAUAUUGCCCAGGCUGGUCUUGAACUCCUGGCCUCAAGUGCUCCUGCCGCCUUGGCCUCUUGAGUAGCUGGGAUUACAGGCAUGAGCCACCACACCUGUCAGCUUAUCUUUACUCACAGCAAGAGCAUCAGGUAGUUCAUUUGACAAAUAUUUACUGAGCACUGAACAUCCUUGUUUGUAAGAUGCUUCAAGAUGAGUAGAUUUUUAAAAAGCAUUAUAUUAAAAGUGUUUUAAUCUGUCUGCUAAUUCAGACUUUUGGUAAUGUCUCCUGGACUGAUAGGUCCAGAAAGAAAGUUUGGCUGAGCAAAUUAAUGAUUUAAAUAAGAUUUAAAUUUUCUUCUUAGGAGAAUAAGCCUUUUAAAAGAGGUUGGUGUAUUUCUGUAACUGCCAAUUCGAGCUGCUGAUUUCAGUAAAUCUUCUUACUUAUGACAACAGUCCAGGGAUCUCUAUUUAAUCACAGGGCUUGUAUUUAAUGUUAGUCUACGGCCCUUGAAAUUGAAUUUCUUUAUGAACAUUCCAUUUUUCAGAUUUUUUAAUCAUUCAGAAUUCCUCUUCCCCUUUUCCAGUUAUUAGGAAUGAAUGGGGCUUGUCUUUCUUCAAUGUAUCGUGAAAGAAUGACACCAAGCUAGAAAACCAAAAUAACUGUCAAGCCCUAUUUUCAUGGCACCGGCCAACUGUUUCGAAACAUGUUUAAAACUCAGCCAAAAUAACUUGUGAAUAUUGUGUUUUGUGAUGAGAGAAACAUCGCCUGACAUCAUAAAAACAAAACAAAAAUAAAUAUAUAAAGACAGUCAAACAAAGAAUGAUAUCAUUAUGUGAUGAGUCAUUGAGUUGAACUUUUAACAUCAAGUUGGUUUUGUCUAAAUCUAUAAAAUAAUGAGCCAGAAAAGUAUCAACUGCAUCUCCGGCAUAUAUUCAUCCUUUUCUGACCCCCAUACCUCUCUGAAAAUGUGAGUCAUCUGCAUUAAACAAAAAUCUAUUAUUUUCUUUGUUAAAAAAAAUAACUAAACUUGGGAUUUGGUUUAAAGUGCACAAGAGAAAUGGCUACUCCUUAAAAAUUAAGCUUCCAGGCCAGGCGUGGUAACUCACGCCUGUAAUCCCAGCACUUUGGGAAGCCAAGGCGGGUGGCUCACGAGGUCAGGAGAUCGAGACCAUCCUGGCUAACACGGUGAAACCCCAUCUCUACUAAAAACACAGAAAAUUAGCUGGGCGUGGUGGCAGGCGCCUGUAGUCCCGGCUACUCGGGAGGCUGAGGCAGGAGAAUCACUUGAACCCGGGAGGCAGAGGUUGCAGUGAGCUGAGAUUGCAUCACUGCACUCCAGCCUGGGCAACAGAGUGAGACUCUGUCUCCAAAAACAAAAAGAAAAUCAAGCUUCCAGGAUAAAACCUAAAGGUAUCACUUUCUGAUUAA
Molecule: non-coding RNA, 2160 nt
Filed under: Pan troglodytes (chimpanzee)
Lineage: Eukaryota; Metazoa; Chordata; Mammalia; Primates; Hominidae
Source: RNAcentral